GCGGGGGGGGCAGCUUACCAUGCAGUCGAACGGCAGCGCGGGAGCAAUCCUGGCGGCGAGUGGCGAACGGGUGAGUAAUACAUCGGAACGUGCCCAAUCGUGGGGGAUAACGCAGCGAAAGCUGUGCUAAUACCGCAUACGAUCUACGGAUGAAAGCAGGGGAUCGCAAGACCUUGCGCGAAUGGAGCGGCCGAUGGCAGAUUAGGUAGUUGGUGAGGUAAAGGCUCACCAAGCCUUCGAUCUGUAGCUGGUCUGAGAGGACGACCAGCCACACUGGGACUGAGACACGGCCCAGACUCCUACGGGAGGCAGCAGUGGGGAAUUUUGGACAAUGGGCGAAAGCCUGAUCCAGCCAUGCCGCGUGCAGGAUGAAGGCCUUCGGGUUGUAAACUGCUUUUGUACGGAACGAAACGGUCUCUUCUAAUAAAGGGGGCUAAUGACGGUACCGUAAGAAUAAGCACCGGCUAACUACGUGCCAGCAGCCGCGGUAAUACGUAGGGUGCAAGCGUUAAUCGGAAUUACUGGGCGUAAAGCGUGCGCAGGCGGUUAUAUAAGACAGUUGUGAAAUCCCCGGGCUCAACCUGGGAACUGCAUCUGUGACUGUAUAGCUAGAGUACGGUAGAGGGGGAUGGAAUUCCGCGUGUAGCAGUGAAAUGCGUAGAUAUGCGGAGGAACACCGAUGGCGAAGGCAAUCCCCUGGACCUGUACUGACGCUCAUGCACGAAAGCGUGGGGAGCAAACAGGAUUAGGUACCCUGGUAGUCCACGCCCUAAACGAUGUCAACUGGUUGUUGGGUCUUCACUGACUCAGUAACGAAGCUCACGCGUGAAGUUGACCGCCUGGGGAGUACGGCCGCAAGGUUGAAACUCAAAGGAAUUGACGGGGACCCGCACAAGCGGUGGGAUGAUGUGGGUUGUAUUUCGAUGCAACGCGAAAAAACAUUACCCACCCUUUGACAUGUACGGGAAUUCGCCGGGAGGAUGGCUUAGUGCUCGGAAGUAUAACCGUAACACAAGGUGGCUGCAUCGGCUGUCGUCAAAAUACAGAGGUCGUUGAGAUGUUGGGGUUAAAGUCCCACAACCAACAGCAACCCCUUGUCCAUAACUUGCUACAGUUCGGAUGGGGGACGUCUGAUCGAUACUGCCGGAUAAACGAACCAGGACGGAAGCUGGGAGAUGAACGUCGAAGUUCGCGUCUGCCCUUACUACUAGUCUGAGCAAGUCGUACAUGGACUGAUCAGAAGAGUUUGCCGAGACGCGCGUAUGAUAGAACGCUAGAUCUGCCCAGGUA
Molecule: ribosomal RNA, 1290 nt
Filed under: Variovorax sp.
Lineage: Bacteria; Pseudomonadati; Pseudomonadota; Betaproteobacteria; Burkholderiales; Comamonadaceae
Description: bacterial SSU rRNA
Rfam family: Bacterial small subunit ribosomal RNA
Source: RNAcentral